AGCGAACCGGGAAGAGCCCA
This 20-nucleotide small nuclear RNA is filed under the name Arabidopsis thaliana (thale cress). Its description in RNAcentral is "snRNA_07960". Lineage: Eukaryota; Viridiplantae; Streptophyta; Magnoliopsida; Brassicales; Brassicaceae. The record is from RNAcentral.